UGCCCACUAGCUAGCUCACCAUAACAAUACAACACACCCCUAUUAAUACCCCUAAACAUACCCACACUACCAAAUAAACCAUUCUUCCCCCAAAGUACGGGCGACGAAAAAGGAUCUAGAAGCAAUAGAAAAAGUACCGCAAGGGAAAGCUGAAAGAGAAAUGAAACAAUGCAGUCAAGCACAAAAAAGCAGAGACCCCACCUCGUACCUUUUGCAUCAUGAUUUAGCAAGAAAUAUUUAAGCAAAAAGAAUUAUAGUUUAAUUCCCCGAAACUAAGGGAGCUACUCCAAGACAGUCUAUUUCAGGACACCCCCGUCUCUGUGGCAAAAGAGUGGGAAGAGCUUUGAGUAGAGGUGACAGACCUACCGAACUUAGUUAUAGCUGGUUGCCUGAAAAUUGAAUAGUAGUUCAGCCCUUCAGAUUCUUCUCUCACCCAUACACCACUCACCUAGACAACAAGAACUUUAAAGGAGUAAGUCAAAGGAGGUACAGCCCCUUUGAAACAAGAUACAACUUUCCCAGCAAGAUAAAGAUCAUAUUUACUCAAGGCAAAUGCCCCCGUGGGCCUAAAAGCAGCCAUCUGACCAGAAAGCGUUAAAGCUCGGGCAUAGUAAAACCUUCAAUAAUGACAAUUCAUCUUAAUCCGCUAAACUUAUCAGGCUAUUCCACUUUAUGGAAGAAAUUAUGCUAAAACGAGUAAUAAGAAAGGUUAAGCCUUUCUCCAAGCACGCGCAUAUAUCGGAACGAACCCCCACCGAAAAUUAACGACCCCAAAAUAAGAGUGACCUGGAUAAAAAACAAGAAACCAGAAAACCAUCCAACAAACCAUCGUUAACCCCACACUGGUGUGCCCCACAGGAAAGACUAAAAGAAGAGGAAGGAACUCGGCAAACAAAAGCCUCGCCUGUUUACCAAAAACAUCGCCUCUUGAAACAUUAAACAUAAGAGGUCCCGCCUGCCCAGUGACUAUGGGUUCAACGGCCGCGGUAUUUUGACCGUGCUAAGGUAGCGCAAUCACUUGUCUUUUAAAUGAAGACCCGUAUGAAUGGCACCACGAGGGCUUAACUGUCUCCCUCUUCCUGUCAAUGAAACUGAUCUCCCCGUGCAGAAGCGGGGAUUACUACACAAGACGAGAAGACCCUAUGGAGCUUCAGGCUCCUGAACAGACUAUGUUAAACAUUCUCCCACAAGAGGCUAAACUUAUUAGACGCUGUUCCAAUGCCUUUGGUUGGGGCGACCACGGGGAAAGAAAAACCCCCAUGUGGAAUAGGAAUAUACCCUCCCACAACCCAGAGUUGCAACUCUAAGUACCAGAACAUCUGACCAAUAAAUGAUCCGGCAUCGCCGAUCAACGAACCGAGUUACCCUAGGGAUAACAGCGCAAUCCCCUUUUAGAGCCCGUAUCAACAAGGGGGUUUACGACCUCGAUGUUGGAUCAGGACAUCCUAUUGGUGCAACCGCUAUUAAGGGUUCGUUUGUUCAACGAUUAAAGUCCUACGUGAUCUGAGUUCAGACCGGAGCAAUCCAGGUCAGUUUCUAUCUAUGAAAUGCUCUUUUCUAGUACGAAAGGACCGAAAAGAGGGGGCCCAUGUCCUAGACAUGCCCCCUCCUUACCUAGUGAAGCCAACUAAAAUAGGUAAGAGGACAUAUCCCAAAGCUAUAGAAAAUAGCAU
RNAcentral lists this ribosomal RNA (1673 nucleotides) under Nannacara anomala (goldeneye cichlid). RNAcentral's name for it is "16S ribosomal RNA". It matches the Rfam family "Bacterial large subunit ribosomal RNA". The record is from RNAcentral. Lineage: Eukaryota; Metazoa; Chordata; Actinopteri; Cichliformes; Cichlidae.